UCCAUCUGUAACACUUGAUGAUUGUGGAAUUAUUCCUUGAUUUGUAUCUGACCUGUUGUACUAAUAGUGUCAUCUCUUUGCAGGCUGGUAAAUCAAGGAGUGAUGGUUAUCAUGCAAUGUAUGAUGAGACCUAUUGAAUGGUUCUUAUAGCUUCUACCUUAUAGGGAUAAUGGGAUGCAUGUAUAUGCUAGUAUGUUACUGGUAUUUCCUCUUAUCUCCUUAGGAGACUCAAGUGUUUUUCACCCUUUAUUGAAGUUUUUAUUUUCCGUGUAACUUAGGAUUAGUUAUCUGUGGUCUGUUUAAUAACACUAUGACACGUCUGGUAUAUAGAUAAUGCUAUGCUACAGUAGCAGCCUGUUAAUUUUUCCUUUGUUAUACCUUCAACAAAACCCCUCCAUUAUUAGAUAAUUUAGGGAUGCAAUUUUCUGAUGCCGCUAUUGAUCUUGUGAUUUUUUUUGUAAACCUUUUUUCCUCUUAUUUCAUUGAUAGUAUCCUUGUAAAUAGUAAUUGAAGAUGAAAUAUUGUUGUUUGAAAUCUUGCCCAAAUAGGUUUAUAAGAAUGUUUACCUAUCUUUCUGGGCUUACUUUGUAAACCUAUUUUUCUAUAUGGGUAAAUAAUAACGAGAGAAAAGAAGGUAAAAUGUAUCUAUUUUUCUUUGUACACCUAUCUUUCUUUGUGCUUUGAGUUCUACCGUUAUUGUGCCUAAAAUCUUAUACUUGACGUAUAGAUGCUAAUGAUUUGUUGAUUAUUAACAUUAACACAUUAUCUUUGCUUUGGAAAAUUAACAACAACCACAAACAACUAGGGCACACCUAGGCUAUCCUUAAGGAGAAGAUACUCUAACUCGGGGGGUCUAGUCUCGCAAUCCAUUCUGCCGUUGAUUUACCCUCUGGCUAACUUUAUAAUGUAACUGAGGCCAAUAUGUUGAAUUCCUGUACAACAUUUUCUGCAUUAUAUCAAGCUUUCUAUGAGUUCUGUUGUGACAGUGUAUAUUUAGAAGGGCAGAGAAAAGUAUUGAUCGUUUUGUCAACAUAUAUUUCAGGAUACCUAUAUGGCCAUAUGCAAAGCUAAUCAUAACCUGCUGGUUGGUCCUUCCUUACUUCAGUGGUGCUUCUUACGUUUACGAGCAUUAUGUGAGAGCUUUCUUGCUCAAUCCUCAGACCAUUAACAUCUGGUAUGUUCCAAGGAAAAAGGACAUCUUCAGUAAGCCAGAUGACAUUAUAACUGCUGCCGAGAAAUACAUACAAGAGAAUGGAACACAAGAAUUUGAGAAUCUGAUCCAUAGGGUAUUUCCAUCUGUAACACUUGAUGAUUGUGGAAUUAUUCCUUGAUUUGUAUCUGACCUGUUGUACUAAUAGUGUCAUCUCUUUGCAGGCUGGUAAAUCAAGGAGUGAUGGUUAUCAUGCAAUGUAUGAUGAGACCUAUUGAAUGGUUCUUAUAGCUUCUACCUUAUAGGGAUAAUGGGAUGCAUGUAUAUGCUAGUAUGUUACUGGUAUUUCCUCUUAUCUCCUUAGGAGACUCAAGUGUUUUUCACCCUUUAUUGAAGUUUUUAUUUUCCGUGUAACUUAGGAUUAGUUAUCUGUGGUCUGUUUAAUAACACUAUGACACGUCUGGUAUAUAGAUAAUGCUAUGCUACAGUAGCAGCCUGUUAAUUUUUCCUUUGUUAUACCUUCAACAAAACCCCUCCAUUAUUAGAUAAUUUAGGGAUGCAAUUUUCUGAUGCCGCUAUUGAUCUUGUGAUUUUUUUUGUAAACCUUUUUUCCUCUUAUUUCAUUGAUAGUAUCCUUGUAAAUAGUAAUUGAAGAUGAAAUAUUGUUGUUUGAAAUCUUGCCCAAAUAGGUUUAUAAGAAUGUUUACCUAUCUUUCUGGGCUUACUUUGUAAACCUAUUUUUCUAUAUGGGUAAAUAAUAACGAGAGAAAAGAAG
RNAcentral lists this long non-coding RNA (1925 nucleotides) under Lotus japonicus. Its description in RNAcentral is "long non-coding RNA (LJAP_LNC001847)". Lineage: Eukaryota; Viridiplantae; Streptophyta; Magnoliopsida; Fabales; Fabaceae. The record is from RNAcentral.